GCUUCUGAUGGUGGAUCUGGUUUGAUCUUCUUCUUCAAUUAUCUUGGAUCUUUUUGAUCUUGAAGAUAGGUCAGAGAAGGAUGCUAGAUGGUAGAGAAAAAUUAGAUGAAGACUCUCUUCUCUUUGAUUUUUUUCUCACCAAAAAAUCCUAGAACAAUUCUAGAUCACUCACCCGAGAGGAGAUAGAUCUCCUCCUUUGCACAUGCCAAGAAGGUAGAAACCCACCCCAAACCUCAUGCCCCA
Molecule: long non-coding RNA, 243 nt
Filed under: Elaeis guineensis (African oil palm)
Lineage: Eukaryota; Viridiplantae; Streptophyta; Magnoliopsida; Arecales; Arecaceae
Description: long non-coding RNA (EGUI_LNC058983)
Source: RNAcentral